UAGGAUAGAGGCCUACCAUGGUGGUAACGGGUAACGGGGUGUUAGGGCACGACACCGGAGAGGGAGCCUGAGAAACGGCUACCACAUCCAAGGAUGGCAGCAGGCGCGCAAAUUACCCAAUCCCGACACGGGGAGGUAGUGACAAUAAAUAACAAUACGGGGUUCUUUCGGAUCUCGUAAUUGGAAUGAGUACAAUUUAAAUCUCUUAACGAGGAACAAUUGGAGGGCAAGUCUGGUGCCAGCAGCCGCGGUAAUUCCAGCUCCAAUAGCGUAUAUUAAGGUUGUUGCAGUUAAAAAGCUCGUAGUUGAAUUUCGGGGUUAGUAGGUUGGUCAUGCCUCUGGUAUGUACUGAUCUCACUGAUUCCUCCUUCCUGAUGAACCGUAAUGCCAUUAAUUUGGUGUUGCGGGGAAUUUGGACUGUUACUUUGAAAAAAUUAGAGUGUUUAAAGCAAGCUAACGCUUGAAUACAUUAGCAUGGAAUAAUGAAAUAGGACGUUCGAUCCUAUUUUGUUGGUUUCUAGGAUUGACGUAAUGAUUAAUAGGGAUAGUUGGGGCAUUAGUAUUCAAUUGUCAGAGGUGAAAUUCUUGGAUUUAUUGAAGACUAACUACUGCGAAAGCAUUUGCCAAGGAUGUUUUCAUUAAUCAAGAACGAAAGUUAGGGGAUCGAAGACGAUCAGAUACCGUCGUAGUCUUAACCAUAAACUAUGCCGACUAGGGAUCGGAUGA
RNAcentral lists this ribosomal RNA (726 nucleotides) under uncultured fungus. RNAcentral's name for it is "SSU rRNA". It matches the Rfam family "Eukaryotic small subunit ribosomal RNA", at positions 329 to 1060 of the family's 1831-position model. Lineage: Eukaryota; Fungi. The record is from RNAcentral.